Molecule: small RNA, 438 nt
Filed under: Arabidopsis thaliana (thale cress)
Lineage: Eukaryota; Viridiplantae; Streptophyta; Magnoliopsida; Brassicales; Brassicaceae
Description: ATSL088280
Source: RNAcentral
UUUAAUGAGUUCGUUUGUUCACCUUAGUAGAUAGGCCGAUUCUUAUUACACACCUAAAAACCAGACUCAUCAAAUAAUAGAUCCAACUACAUAUACUUAUGGUGGGCAUAUCUAUUGUCUGGAUUCAAGAUCUAGUUAGUUACUCUAGAUCUAGCAUUAAGCAUAAUUAAAGAUGAAGAAUUCUACAGAUAACCUAGCAAAGGGGGCAAUCUACUAAACUAUAUGAAUCCCUAAUGAGAAACCCUAUUCCUAACAAGCAGAUUACUCAGACAUAUUGAUUGAAGGAAACAACAUAAUUGAGUAUGAAAACAUAAACACGGCAAAUAGAUUUAAGGGAAAGAAGGGAUCUCUUCACUGUAUUAGGAACUGAAUCAAUCUCUGAAAACACUCGAUGAAUAGCUUAUGUCUCUCAGUAACAGGGUUUGCAAAAAGCUUGAU